RNAcentral lists this ribosomal RNA (406 nucleotides) under uncultured bacterium. RNAcentral's name for it is "partial 16S ribosomal RNA". It matches the Rfam family "Bacterial small subunit ribosomal RNA", at positions 30 to 526 of the family's 1533-position model. The record is from RNAcentral.
AUUGAACGCUGGCGGCAGGCCUAACACAUGCAAGUCGAACGAGUGGCGGACGGGUGAGUAAUGUCUGGGAAACUGCCUGAUGGAGGGGGAUAACUACUGGAAACCGUAGCUAAUACCGCAUACCAUCAGAUGUGCCCAGAUGGGAUUAGCUUGUUGGUGGGGUAAAGGCUCACCAAGGCGACGAUCCCUAGCUGGUCUGAGAGGAUGACCAGCCACACUGGAACGGAGACACGGUCCAGACUCCAACGGGAGGCAGCAGUGGGGAAUAUUGGGCAAUGGGCGCAAGCCUGAUGCAGCCAUGCCGCGUGUAUGAAGAAGGCCUUCGGGUUGUAAAGGACUUUCAGCGGGGAGGCGUUACCCGCAGAGGAAGCACCGGCUAACUACGUGCCAGCAGCCGCGGUAAUAC